This 424-nucleotide ribosomal RNA is filed under the name uncultured Haemophilus sp. RNAcentral describes it as "bacterial SSU rRNA". It matches the Rfam family "Bacterial small subunit ribosomal RNA", at positions 358 to 774 of the family's 1533-position model. Lineage: Bacteria; Pseudomonadati; Pseudomonadota; Gammaproteobacteria; Pasteurellales; Pasteurellaceae. The record is from RNAcentral.
GGAAUAUUGCGCAAUGGGGGCAACCCUGACGCAGCCAUGCCGCGUGAAUGAAGAAGGCCUUCGGGUUGUAAAGUUCUUUCGGUAGCGAGGAAGGCAUUUAGUUUAAUAGACUAGGUGAUUGACGUUAACUACAGAAGAAGCACCGGCUAACUCCGUGCCAGCAGCCGCGGUAAUACGGAGGGUGCGAGCGUUAAUCGGAAUAACUGGGCGUAAAGGGCACGCAGGCGGUGACUUAAGUGAGGUGUGAAAGCCCCGGGCUUAACCUGGGAAUUGCAUUUCAUACUGGGUCGCUAGAGUACUUUAGGGAGGGGUAGAAUUCCACGUGUAGCGGUGAAAUGCGUAGAGAUGUGGAGGAAUACCGAAGGCGAAGGCAGCCCCUUGGGAAUGUACUGACGCUCAUGUGCGAAAGCGUGGGGAGCAAACA